AACGAACGCUGGCGGCAUGCCUAACACAUGCAAGUCGAACGAGACCUUCGGGUCUAGUGGCGCACGGGUGCGUAACGCGUGGGAAUCUGCCCUUGGGUUCGGAAUAACAGUUAGAAAUGACUGCUAAUACCGGAUGAUGUCUUCGGACCAAAGAUUUAUCGCCCAAGGAUGAGCCCGCGUAGGAUUAGGUAGUUGGUGGGGUAAUGGCCCACCAAGCCGACGAUCCUUAGCUGGUCUGAGAGGAUGAUCAGCCACACUGGGACUGAGACACGGCCCAGACUCCUACGGGAGGCAGCAGUUGGGGGAAUAUU
Molecule: ribosomal RNA, 311 nt
Filed under: uncultured bacterium
Lineage: Bacteria
Description: bacterial SSU rRNA
Rfam family: Bacterial small subunit ribosomal RNA
Source: RNAcentral